UGGAUUGAAACGCCAUGCUCAGGCUGGCGAGUGCGCCACUCAUCA
RNAcentral lists this unclassified non-coding RNA (45 nucleotides) under Nitratidesulfovibrio vulgaris str. Hildenborough. Its description in RNAcentral is "RNA (45-MER) from Desulfovibrio vulgaris str. Hildenborough (PDB 7KHA, chain J)". Lineage: Bacteria; Pseudomonadati; Thermodesulfobacteriota; Desulfovibrionia; Desulfovibrionales; Desulfovibrionaceae. The record is from RNAcentral.